This 253-nucleotide ribosomal RNA is filed under the name uncultured bacterium. RNAcentral's name for it is "partial 16S ribosomal RNA". It matches the Rfam family "Bacterial small subunit ribosomal RNA", at positions 524 to 776 of the family's 1533-position model. The record is from RNAcentral.
AACGUAGGAGGCGAGCGUUAUCCGGAUUUACUGGGCGUAAAGCGCACGCAGGUGGGUCUGCAGGUCGGACAUGAAAGCUCCUGGCUUAACUGGGAGAGGUGGUUCGAAACCGCAGGGCUUGAGGUUGGGAGAGGGACGUGGAAUUCCCGGUGUAGUGGUGGAAUGCGUAGAUAUCGGGAGGAACACCAGUGGCGCAAGCGGCGUCCUGGCCCACACCUGACGCUGAGGUGCGAAAGCGUGGGGAGCAAACAGG